Molecule: ribosomal RNA, 253 nt
Filed under: uncultured bacterium
Lineage: Bacteria
Description: partial 16S ribosomal RNA
Rfam family: Bacterial small subunit ribosomal RNA
Source: RNAcentral
UACAGAGGGUGCGAGCGUUGUCCGGAAUUAUUGGGCGUAAAGAGCUUGUAGGCGGUUUGUCGCGUCUGCCGUGAAAUUUCGGGGCUCAACCCCGAACUUGCGGUGGGUACGGGCAGACUAGAGUGUGGUAGGGGAGACUGGAAUUCCUGGUGUAGCGGUGAAAUGCGCAGAUAUCAGGAGGAACACCGAUGGCGAAGGCAGGUCUCUGGGCCACUACUGACGCUGAGAAGCGAAAGCAUGGGGAGCGAACAGG